GGGGGUAUAGCUCAGCUGGGAGAGCAGCAGACUGAAGUGUGUUAUGGUGGACCAUCUGUGCACAUUCUGAAGGUCCCGCGUUCGAUCCGCGGUACCCCCA
This 100-nucleotide transfer RNA is filed under the name Lentinula raphanica. RNAcentral's name for it is "tRNA-Phe". Lineage: Eukaryota; Fungi; Basidiomycota; Agaricomycetes; Agaricales; Omphalotaceae. The record is from RNAcentral.